GCGGACGGGUGAGUAACACGUGAGUAACCUGCCUUAGACAUUGGGAUAGCCUCGGGAAACCGGGAUUAAUACCAAAUAAAAUCAUAAUGACACAUGUCAUAACGAUCAAAACUCCGGUGGUCUAAGAUGGACUCGCGUCCCAUUAGCUAGUUGGUAGAGUAAAAGCCUACCAAGGCGACGAUGGGUAGCCGGCCUGAGAGGGUGAACGGCCACAUUGGGACUGAGAUACGGCCCAG
This 236-nucleotide ribosomal RNA is filed under the name uncultured Eubacteriales bacterium. RNAcentral describes it as "uncultured Clostridiales bacterium partial 16S ribosomal RNA". It matches the Rfam family "Bacterial small subunit ribosomal RNA", at positions 98 to 334 of the family's 1533-position model. The record is from RNAcentral. Lineage: Bacteria; Bacillati; Bacillota; Clostridia; Eubacteriales.